UUACCCUAGUAACGGCGAGUGAAGCGGUAAGAGCUCAAAUUUGAAAGCUGGCCCCUUCGGGGUCCGCAUUGUAAUUUGCAGAGGAUGCUUCGGGAGCGGUCCCCAUCUAAGUGCCCUGGAACGGGCCGUCAUAGAGGGUGAGAAUCCCGUAUGGGAUGGGGUGCCCGCGCCCGUGUGAAGCUCCUUCGACGAGUCGAGUUGUUUGGGAAUGCAGCUCUAAUUGGGUGGUAAAUUUCAUCUAAAGCUAAAUAUUGGCCGGAGACCGAUAGCGCACAAGUAGAGUGAUCGAAAGAUGAAAAGCACUUUGAAAAGAGAGUUAAACAGCACGUGAAAUUGUUGAAAGGGAAGCGCUUGCGAUCAGACUCGCUCGCGGGGUUCAGCCGGCCUUCGGGCCGGUGUACUUCCCCGCGGGCGGGCCAGCGUCGGUUUGGGCGGCCGGUCAAAGGCCCCUGGAAUGUAACGCCUCUCGGGGCGUCUUAUAGCCAGGGGUGCCAUGCGGCCUGCCCGGACCGAGGAACGCGCUUCGGCUCGGACGCUGGCAUAAUGGUCGUAAGCGACCCGUCUUGAAACACGGACCAAGGAGUCUAACAUCUACGCGAGUGUUCGGGUGUCAAACCCGUGCGCGCAGUGAAAGCGAACGGAGGUGGGAACCCCUCGGGGUGCACCAUCGACCGAUCCUGAUGUCUUCGGAUGGAUUUGAGUAAGAGCGUAGCUGUUGGGACCCGAAAGAUGGUGAACUAUGCCUGAAUAGGGCGAAGCCAGAGGAAACUCUGGUGGAGGCUCGCAGCGGUUCUGACGUGCAAAUCGAUCGUCAAAUUUGGGUAUAGGGGCGAAAGACUAAUCGA
RNAcentral lists this ribosomal RNA (845 nucleotides) under Penicillium manginii. Its description in RNAcentral is "LSU rRNA". It matches the Rfam family "Eukaryotic large subunit ribosomal RNA", at positions 75 to 938 of the family's 3401-position model. The record is from RNAcentral. Lineage: Eukaryota; Fungi; Ascomycota; Eurotiomycetes; Eurotiales; Aspergillaceae.